UGUAUUUAUUAGAUAAAAAACCAACGCCUUCGGGGCUUCUUGGUGAUUCAUGAUAACUUCACGGAUCGCAUGGCCUUGCGCCGGCGACGGUUCAUUCAAAUUUCUGCCCUAUCAACUUUCGAUGGUAAGGUAUUGGCUUACCAUGGUUUCAACGGGUAACGGGGAAUUAGGGUUCGAUUCCGGAGAGGGAGCCUGAGAAACGGCUACCACAUCCAAGGAAGGCAGCAGGCGCGCAAAUUACCCAAUCCCGACACGGGGAGGUAGUGACAAUAAAUACUGAUACAGGGCUCUUUUGGGUCUUGUAAUUGGAAUGAGUACAAUUUAAACCUCUUAACGAGGAACAAUUGGAGGGCAAGUCUGGUGCCAGCAGCCGCGGUAAUUCCAGCUCCAAUAGCGUAUAUUAAAGUUGUUGCAGUUAAAAAGCUCGUAGUUGAAACUUGGGCCUGGCUGGCAGGUCCGCCUCACCGCGUGUACUUGUCCGGCCGGGCCUUUCCUUCUGGAGAACCUCAUGCCCUUCACUGGGUGUGUUGGGGAACCAGGACUUUUACUUUGAAAAAAUUAGAGUGUUCAAAGCAGGCCUUUGCUCGAAUACGUUAGCAUGGAAUAAUAGAAUAGGACGUGCGGUCCUAUUUUGUUGGUUUCUAGGACCGCCGUAAUGAUUAAUAGGGACAGUCGGGGGCAUCAGUAUUCAAUUGUCAGAGGUGAAAUUCUUGGAUUUAUUGAAGACUAACUACUGCGAAAGCAUUUGCCAAGGAUGUUUUCAUUAAUCAGUGAACGAAAGUUAGGGGAUCGAAGACGAUCAGAUACCGUCGUAGUCUUAACCGUAAACUAUGCCGACUAGGGAUCGGGCGAUGUUCUUUUUCUGACUCGCUCGGCACCUUACGAGAAAUCAAAG
RNAcentral lists this ribosomal RNA (895 nucleotides) under Microsphaeropsis cytisi. RNAcentral describes it as "SSU rRNA". It matches the Rfam family "Eukaryotic small subunit ribosomal RNA", at positions 202 to 1103 of the family's 1831-position model. The record is from RNAcentral. Lineage: Eukaryota; Fungi; Ascomycota; Dothideomycetes; Pleosporales; Didymellaceae.